This 254-nucleotide ribosomal RNA is filed under the name uncultured bacterium. RNAcentral describes it as "partial 16S ribosomal RNA". It matches the Rfam family "Bacterial small subunit ribosomal RNA", at positions 524 to 776 of the family's 1533-position model. The record is from RNAcentral.
UACGGGGGGAGCAAGCGUUGUUCGGAUUUACUGGGCGUAAAGGGCGCGUAGGCGGUCGUGACAAGUCACUUGUGAAAUCUCCGGGCUUAACUCGGAACGGUCAAGUGAUACUGUCGGACUAGAGUACAGAAGGGGCAACUGGAAUUCUCGGUGUAGCGGUGAAAUGCGUAGAUAUCGAGAGGAACACCUGCGGCGAAGGCGGGUUGCUGGGCUGAUACUGACGCUGAGGCACGAAAGCCAGGGGAGCAAACGGG